Lethenteron reissneri (Far Eastern brook lamprey) is the source of this 4145-nucleotide long non-coding RNA. RefSeq lists it as uncharacterized. The record is from RefSeq and is a predicted model, not a curated record. Lineage: Eukaryota; Metazoa; Chordata; Hyperoartia; Petromyzontiformes; Petromyzontidae.
GACCGGCACACACGCACACAGGUGCGGACACGCAAGCUCUUCAUCAAGCAGUGAAGUCGUGGUGGUGGGGGGGUAGGAGAAGGUGGGGGGGUGUCCGAGCCCCCCACUAACGCCCCCCCCCCCACCCCUUCAAGACUCCCUCAACCACAGCCCCCCACGAAGCAGGUGAAACGCGAGUACAGGUGUAUUGGGACAGAUUUAAAGAGGUGCAAGAAAGUGAUGGUGAUAACAUCGAUCCAUGAGCUGUCUGAGCUGUCUGGAGCCUUGGAAUAAAUCGUCUGCUACGCCUCCAGAAUUUGCAGCUCCAAACUCAACUCCAAGACCCAAGUCCUCGUCAAUUCACGUGUGUGUGUGUGUGUCACAUGUGGCUCAACUAACAUUGUGAUACCAACAUUGAGCCAAAUACAAUUGUCAGAUCUUGGCAGAUUUCGAAAGCUAAGCAGAUUUGAGCCUGGAUAGUGCUUGGAUGGGCGACCACACGCACAAACAGUCUGCCAUAAGUGGCUGCGUGGUUGUGCUACGUGGUGGUCAGCAAAGAGCAGUGUUGCAAAAAACAUAAUUGUACUGUGCUGCUGUGCUCCCACGUUUAUGCUCCGCGCCUUUAGCACACAGCACUGACCAGUGUGGUGAAGUAUGGUCAAGGCGUAGCCCUCAUGACCCGCACGGUGUGGAGAUCAGGCCCUUAUCACACAGUGAAUUAACCAAGGGGCUUCUCAUGCACAUGGGCUGUGCUGCACUAAAGACCGUUAGUAAAUGUGAAACUAGUGGGCAGUUUGUCAUAUUGAAUCCCACUGCCAUAGAUGUUUAAAGGGCCACAGUUUUUUCAAAUGUACCUGCAGGUCGUCCUGAAUCCGGCUGGACUUCCCAAAAAUGGCAAUAGAUGGCGCUGAAGAGUUAUUGUUGGUGAGUCCAUUGACACUGGCUUAAUUAUUAACAGACUUUGCAGUUUUUAUAUUUUUUACGUAAAAUAAUAAAAGGUAACUUUCAGCCACUUACAAAAUUUGGGGGGGGGGGUACAAAAGAAGAAUCUAGAAUAAUCAAAAUGUGACUCCCUGGUGGCAUGCAACCUAAUGCAGAGGCACAAUUUACGUUUUUUUGUGAAGGAGUAUUUCACACAAAUGUCAUGUGAAUUUUGGUAUAUUCAUUAUUAAAAAAUAAAUGCAAAUGUUUAAUUAUAAAGUAGCAAAAUGCAACUGCAGCUCAAGGUGUUGUACAGAUGGAUAAAAAAUCUAAGAGUUGGCGAGAAGGGGUGGGUUUGAGAUUUUUUAACUACAUCUAAAAUUGCGAGGGAAACAAAUAAUUUACAUUUAUAUGGAAGUUAGAUGAGAAGUAAAUAAUACGCAUGGACAUUUCAAUCAAUGACAAAGAGUUCUACUGAUUGUGUGCUAAUAGACGUGAAGUUGAAUAUUUGAGCUCCUCGGUGGUGAGACGUUAACUACUUUGCCUGGUAUACAGGAGGCCAUGGGUUCAAUCCCGACCCUGGUACCUGUAUAUUUGGAGUUUGCAUGUUCUCCCCGUGGUCGUGUGUAUUGUCCUCUGGGUCUGCCGGUUUUCCCCUCCACAUUUAGAAUCAGCAUGCGUUUAGAAUAUUUGGCUGCUAUAAAUUGGGCUAUCACUUGUGGACAGAUCGCUUCUGAAAAAGAGCUAUAUAGCUCAGUGCACCUUGUCUGGUAAAGUAAAACAUCGUUGAGUUGUAAUAUUGCUAAAGUAGAAUGUAGGCUGUAGAGACUAGACAUUGAGUGCAAGUCACUCCAUACUUGGGCUUUUCAAGCCUUCGGCGUUCCACGUUGCCUUAAUUUGUACAUAAAUUGUGUGUGUGUCUAAGAGAUUGAAUGUGGAUUUGUACACGUAUACGUUUGGCAUCGGUGUCUUUGGGUGGCACAUUUGCAAAAUGCAUAACUGCACAGUGUGUCCUCAAAAUUAUGUGGUAAACCAUGACUCUAAAUAGAGCAGGGGUUUUUAGGGACAACUAUGUCAAAAGAAAUUGAAAAUCGCGCUCACGAAGCUGAAAUUGAACAGUGCGCAGACCAAUGUCAAGUCGUUUGCUGCAAUUCCACGUUGCGCAGAAAUGUCACGAGCGAAGCAGUCCCAGUUUGGUUUUGUACUUAACAGCUGCUACUUUGUCCAGUGCAGAAUUGCCUUGUGAUAUUCAGUGUUGUUUUUUUCUCUCUUUUAUAUUUCUAUUUAUAUUAUUAAAUAAAAGAGCAAUACUGGAUAUGCGGCGUUCCAAGCUCUAAAUGGGCUAAAUUGGUCUUCAUGGAAAUACCAGGGUUUUGUUAAGAAAAUGUAUAUACUAUGGCACUGCACCACUGAAUUAGCCUGGAAUUUCAAGGACACGUUGUGUAUGUGUUUGGGGGUAAGUGGGGGGCGGGGGGGAGUUACUGUAUUUGUUUUUGGCAUCUAAAUUAAUAUACAAUUUUGGCGAAUCGUUUAACACAUUUAUCAAUAUUAAGUGAACGUGUUUGUGCAUCCCAGUGUGGGAAUUGUGUGUAUUGAUUUCAUAUACAGGCUCUCCGUAAAGUCCUAUUACCCCAAGGUCACUUUCAGUUUCUGUUGUGUUUGCCUCUGCAUGUUAUGUUGGUUAAAGUCAAGGUAAUGGCAGAUAUGAGCAGCCUGUCAUGCGGUAAUGUUAUAAAGAAUUAUCCUGUCAUGAGAAUGAUGGUGACAAACUGACCUCUGGACAACAGUUAAAGGUGAAUUCUGUGAUCGUGUGAAUUUUGUCUCAAGUGGCUCAUAAUAUAUUUUCAACAAUCAUUGAAUAUGAUCAUACCGAUAUAAACUGUGUGGAGUGGUGCUGCUGUGGUGUGCACACUCGACGAGUUUUAACCUUUGACAAGGUUACCAUCAUUUGAGAGUGAACUCUGCACCAGUCCUGGCCACCCCUUUCACCAUCCCCACACUGACCAGUGUGGUGAAGUAUGGCCCAACAACCCCCAGUGACAAUUACGAUGUGAAGCAGCCUUUAUCUAACAGUGGAUUUGUGACACCGUGGACAUUGUGAGUCCAGUGUGUACGUGGGUUUGAUUGGUUGAAAUGAAACGUGCUGCAAAAUACCUUUGGCAGGUCACAUUACACUGGUCAACACACUUUUUCUGGCACAAGGUAUUCCAACGGUUUUAAGGUAAUUUUGGGGUGCUGAUUCCAAAUCUGGCAUCAGUUUUUGUCUAUCACAUCAGGUUUUUGAGAUGUUAAAUAUUGCAUUUUCAAUAAAAACUGCAGAAGAAAAAUAUAAAAUAAAUGUGGAUAUCUACAUAAAAUUAUAUUAUAAACACACUAUCCUAAAAAUACAGCACUAUAUUUUAACACUAAAGCAGUCACUGACUCGCAACAACUUGCAAUCAUAAGUGACAGAGUUAAUUUCGGGUAAAAUCAAUGAAAAUGGGGUAUGCCGAUAGCAUAAAAUGAGAUGUGAUAGAGAAAAUCUGAGAUCAGAUUUGGAAUCAGCACCCUGAAAUUAGUCUAAAACAGCUGCAAAAGUCUAGGCCAGAAAAAAUGUUUUUUUUGUUGACCAGUGUUAUCAGACACCUCGGUCACUAAUCGUGCGAAUAAGCCCCUUCACCAUCCUGGGCUCCAUGUUCCCCCCAUGACCGCGUGGAUUUUUCUCCGCGUCCUCCGAUUGUUCCCUCAUUUAGAAUCAACGUGCAUUCCGAGUAUUUGGCUGAUAUACAUUUCCACAUGAUAAUCCACUUCGUUGAGUUAUCAUUUGUGGCCAGCUCGCUUCUGGAAAAGAGCUACAUAGCUCAGUAGCCCUUACGUGGUAAAAAAAACAUGAGUUUCGUUUAGUUUGGGAAAGGGCCGGAAAUAUUUUCAAUGUAUGUUUAUUCAAUCAAUAUACCAAUGUGUUUUUAGUGCAAAGUUCGUUACCAUGUUGUUGAUCGUGGUAUGCAAGCUUUUUGAUAUAUUUGUGUGAAGUGUACACAUUUGAUAUACAGUACAUAGCAAGUGCUAGAUAUCGAAAUGAUUAAUUUACUUAAGUGUGGUUUUCGCCAAUGCUUUCGUUUGUGUUUUAGAGUGUAUGUAUUAACACCUUUUGUAACCUAUCCAUGGAGAACUGUUAUUGUAUAACCAUAGCCGUCAUCCUAAUGCGUGUUAGAAUGUGUGUUCCACAGUACUGUCUUGUGAAAUAAAAUAUACAGCGGUUGAAA